UACGUAGGGUGCGAGCGUUGUCCGGAAUUACUGGGCGUAAAGAGCUCGUAGGGGGUUUGUCGCGUUGUUCGUGAAAUCUCACGGCUUAACUGUGAGCGUGCGGGCGAUACGGGCAGACUAGAGUACUGCAGGGGAGACUGGAAUUCCUGGUGUAGCGGUGGAAUGCGCAGAUAUCAGGAGGAACACCGGUGGCGAAGGCGGGUCUCUGGGCAGUAACUGACGCUGAGGAGCGAAAGCGUGGGGAGCGAACAGG
RNAcentral lists this ribosomal RNA (253 nucleotides) under uncultured bacterium. RNAcentral describes it as "partial 16S ribosomal RNA". It matches the Rfam family "Bacterial small subunit ribosomal RNA", at positions 524 to 776 of the family's 1533-position model. The record is from RNAcentral.